Molecule: ribosomal RNA, 467 nt
Filed under: uncultured bacterium
Lineage: Bacteria
Description: partial 16S ribosomal RNA
Rfam family: Bacterial small subunit ribosomal RNA
Source: RNAcentral
GAUGAACGCUGGCGGCGCGCCUAACACAUGCAAGUCGAACGGUUAGAGCACCUUCGGGUGGGUAUAAAGUGGCGCACGGCUGAGUAACACGUGAGCAACCCGCCCCUCUCAUUGGGAUAGCCACGGUAAACCGUGGGUAAUACCGAAUACUUCCGGGCUUCCGCAUGGGGGACUCGCGAAAGCUGCGGCGGAGUGGGAUGGUGCCGCGGGCUGUGCGCUUGUUGGUGGGGCAAUGGCCUGCGAAGGCAAUGAUGGGUGGCUGGGGUGAGAGGCCGACCAGCCAGAUUGGGACUGAGACACCGCCCAGACGCCUACGGGAAGCAGCAGUGGGGAAUCUUGCACAAUGGGCGAAAGCCUGAUGCAGCGACGCCGCGUGCGGGAUGAAGGCCUUCGGGUUGUAAACCGCUUUCAGCAGGGACGAAGCGAAAGUGACGGUACCUGCAGAAGAAGCCCCGGCUAACUACGUG